GUCUGAGGGUAAUGGAUUUAUCAAUUAUCGAAAGUCAGGGUAGCUAAACACUUAUUGAGUAUAUCAAGACUCAUUACAGCCACACACAGUGAAAGAAGCCAGACACUAGAAGACAGAAAAUAACAGCAAAUUGCAGUUAACCUGAUUUUUUGAAGGUGGGAUUGCUAUCCUACCUACGCACCUACAGGCGAUUGGUACUUUAUUGCUUUCCUCUUUUCCCUUUUCUUCAUCUUCACACCUUCACAUCUUCUUCCCUAAAAGUCAGACAUACAAUGAUACCUGUUUUCUAAUUUAUUUAUAGUAAUCAACACAGAAUCCAGUCUCUGUAUUAUUGUACUCUUCUUCAGUUGUAUUUGUGUAUAUGUGAUCUUUAUUGAAGUUUGCUGCAAAACAAUAUUAAGCAGGGUAGUAGGUAUUGAAAACGCUUUCAAUGAAAAGAGAAAAAGUCAAAUAUCCAAAGCCUAGGUGGAUCUUCAAAGCUUUACAACAGCUUGUGCCCCACUGCUUGAGAGAGGAGCAAGACAGAAGAGCAGAAGAUAAACUCUGUUUAGAUCCACCUGAUUUUUCUCUGCAUGGACACAGCACAUAUGUUUUCCUCUAGAGCCUUGUUUCAUCAGAGGCAGUUACUGCCCACAAGAUGCAGACAUUCAUAGAACGUCUUGGUGUCCCACCAUAUGAAAAGACAUAUUCUUACAUGUUGCCUGUUUUCUGAGCAUGCUUUUCUGCAUGCAACUUCUGGAACAUCACAGUUUUGAGAUCUAAUUGCUUUUUGCCCAGGUUUCUCCAAGAAUCUCUUUUCUAU
This 802-nucleotide long non-coding RNA is filed under the name Anser brachyrhynchus (Pink-footed goose). RNAcentral's name for it is "lncRNA (ENSABRG00000008022.1)". Lineage: Eukaryota; Metazoa; Chordata; Aves; Anseriformes; Anatidae. The record is from RNAcentral.